GUUGAAGUUGGAUUUUGAGCUUAUAGCUUGCUAACCGAAGACUAGAUCAUGAUACUAUCAAACAACAAUGACUAUAGGCAAGAUAUAUAGAGUAGGAGCAGCUUGCAUAUUUGUUAUAGAUAGAUGCAUCUUUCAAUAUAAGAGACUUUUCUUGGUUAAUCGAUGUUAGGAAGAAUCUCAAUGCUAGCUAAGUGCAUUGAAACUUUUUUAGCCAUAUGAUCUACUUUUGAUCGUUUUAUAUAUGAUUUGUAGCAUAACUAAAAUUGUUAAUAGCUAUGUAAAUUCAAAAAACACGGGGUGCACCGAAAGGGUUAUGUCUAUGCGUAUAUCAACUUUGUAAAUAUUAUAGAAUGAUUGUGUUAUGUAUCUUUAACGAAUACAAAUUUUACAAAAUUUAC
This 398-nucleotide long non-coding RNA is filed under the name Trifolium pratense (red clover). RNAcentral's name for it is "long non-coding RNA (TPRA_LNC010892)". The record is from RNAcentral. Lineage: Eukaryota; Viridiplantae; Streptophyta; Magnoliopsida; Fabales; Fabaceae.